RNAcentral lists this ribosomal RNA (1404 nucleotides) under uncultured bacterium. Its description in RNAcentral is "bacterial SSU rRNA". It matches the Rfam family "Bacterial small subunit ribosomal RNA". The record is from RNAcentral.
GAAUUCGCCCUUAGAGUUUGAUCCUGGCUCAGGACGAGCGCUGGCGGCGUGCCUAACACAUGCAAGUCGAACGAAGCAUUUGGAUCUGAUCUCUUCGGAGUGACGAACCUUAUGACUUAGUGGCGGACGGGUGAGUAACACGUGAGCAACCUGCCUCUCAGAGUGGAAUAACAGUUGGAAACGGCUGCUAAUACCGCAUAACGUCAUAGUACCGCAUGAUACCUUGACCAAAGAUUUAUCGCUGAGAGAUGGGCUCGCGUCCGAUUAGGUAGAUGGUGGGGUAACGGCCUACCAUGCCGACGAUCGGUAGCCGGACUGAGAGGUUGAUCGGCCACAUUGGGACUGAGAUACGGCCCAGACUCCUACGGGAGGCAGCAGUGGGGAAUAUUGGGCAAUGGGCGCAAGCCUGACCCAGCAAUGCCGCGUGAAGGAAGAAGGCUUUCGGGUUGUAAACUUCUUUUGUCAGGGACGAGCAGAAGACGGUACCUGACGAAUAAGCCACGGCUAACUACGUGCCAGCAGCCGCGGUAAUACGUAGGUGGCAAGCGUUGUCCGGAUUUACUGGGUGUAAAGGGCGUGUAGCCGGGUCGGCAAGUCAGAUGUGAAAUCUAUGGGCUCAACUCAUAAACUGCAUUUGAAACUGUUGAUCUUGAGUAUCGGAGAGGCAAUCGGAAUUCCUAGUGUAGCGGUGAAAUGCGUAGAUAUUAGGAGGAACACCAGUGGCGAAGGCGGAUUGCUGGACGACAACUGACGGUGAGGCGCGAAAGCGUGGGGAGCAAACAGGAUUAGAUACCCUGGUAGUCCACGCUGUAAACGAUGAAUACUAGGUGUGCGGGGACUGACCCCCUGCGUGCCGCAGCUAACGCAAUAAGUAUUCCACCUGGGGAGUACGAUCGCAAGGUUGAAACUCAAAGGAAUUGACGGGGGCCCGCACAAGCGGUGGAUUAUGUGGUUUAAUUCGAAGCAACGCGAAAAACCUUACCAAGGAUUGACAUCCUAGGAACCCGGCGUAAUGGCUGGGGUGCCCCUUCGGGGGAAUCUAGAGACAGGUGGUGCAUGGUUGUCGUCAGCUCGUGUCGUGAGAUGUUGGGUUAAGUCCCGCAACGAGCGCAACCCUUACUGUUAGUUGCUACGCAAGAGCACUCUGGCAGGACUGCCGUUGACAAAACGGAGGAAGGUGGGGACGACGUCAAAUCAUCAUGCCCCUUAUAUCUUGGGCUACACACGUACUACAAUGGCGCAAACAAAGGGAAGCGACCCCGCGAGGGUGAGCAAAUCCCAUAAAAGGCGUCCCAGUUCGGACUGCAGGCUGCAACUCGCCUGCACGAAGUUGGAAUUGCUAGUAAUCGCGAAUCAGCAUGUCGCGGUGAAUACGUUCCCGGGCUUUGUACUCACCGCCCGUCA